AAACAUGUCUUCUAGAUUUAUGAGAAGUCAGGCCUGCACACUGAGGUGUUAAAGAGCUGCAGUAUACUAACUGUGCAAAGGUAGCAUAAUAAUUUGUUAUUUAAUUAAUAACUUGGAUGAAAGGUUUGAUGAUUGUAGACUAUCUUUUUUCUAUUAUUGAAAUUGAGUUUUGGUGAAAAUUCCGAAUUGUAUUUAAGGGACGAUAAGACCCUAUAAAAUUUUACUGUGUAUGUGUUAGUUUGGUUAAAAAAAGUUGUAGUUUGGCUGGGGCGGUUUUUAUAGAGUGAAAAUUAGGAAUGCUAUAAUUAUUUUUAACAAAUAUUAUUGGUUUUAAUGACCCUGAAAGGAUUAAUAAAUAAAAUUACUUUAGGGAUAACAGCGUUAUCUUUCUUAGAGUUCUAAUCAAAAGAAAGGUUUGCGACCUCGAUGUUGAAUUAAGGAUCCUUUCUUAGUGCAGUAGC
RNAcentral lists this ribosomal RNA (461 nucleotides) under Diastylis laevis. RNAcentral's name for it is "partial large subunit ribosomal RNA". It matches the Rfam family "Bacterial large subunit ribosomal RNA", at positions 1826 to 2562 of the family's 2925-position model. The record is from RNAcentral. Lineage: Eukaryota; Metazoa; Arthropoda; Malacostraca; Cumacea; Diastylidae.